Molecule: ribosomal RNA, 283 nt
Filed under: Symphytognathidae sp. SYMP-006-AUST
Lineage: Eukaryota; Metazoa; Arthropoda; Arachnida; Araneae; Symphytognathidae
Description: partial 18S ribosomal RNA
Rfam family: Eukaryotic small subunit ribosomal RNA
Source: RNAcentral
UUAAAGGAAUUGACGGAAGGGCACACAAGCGAUGGAGCUUGCGGCUUAAUUUGACUCAACACGGGGAAGCUUACCAGGAUAGGACACAAGAAGGAUUGACAGAUUGAGAGUUCUUUCUUGAUUUUGUGGAUGGUGGUGCACGGCCGCUCCUAGUCCGUGGAGCGAUUUGUCAGAUUGAUUUCGAUAACGAACGAGAUUCUAACCGAUUAAAUAGACCGUCCCGAUCUCCCUCGUCGGGGGUCUUCUUAGUGGGACGGGCGGCGUCUAAGCCGCACGAGGCAGU